RNAcentral lists this ribosomal RNA (496 nucleotides) under uncultured bacterium. Its description in RNAcentral is "bacterial SSU rRNA". It matches the Rfam family "Bacterial small subunit ribosomal RNA", at positions 39 to 524 of the family's 1533-position model. The record is from RNAcentral.
GCAGCUACAGCUUACCAUGCAAGUCGCGGGGCAGCGUGGGGAUGGCUUGCCAUCCCUGACGGCGACCGGCGCACGGGUGAGUAACGCGUAUCCAACCUGCCCCUUACCACGGGAUAGCCCUCCGAAAGGGGGAUUAAUACCGUAUGUGGCCACGAGACGGCAUCCGACCGUGGCUAAAGGCUCAGCGGUAAGGGACGGGGAUGCGUCUGAUUAGGUAGUCGGCGGGGUAACGGCCCACCGAGCCAUCGAUCAGUAGGGGUUCUGAGAGGAAGGUCCCCCACAUUGGAACUGAGACACGGUCCAAACUCCUACGGGAGGCAGCAGUGAGGAAUAUUGGUCAAUGGGCGCGAGCCUGAACCAGCCAAGUAGCGUGAGGGAAGACGGCCCUACGGGUUGUAAACCUCUUUUAUGCGGGGAUAAAGUGAGCCACGUGUGGCUUUUUGCAGGUACCGCAUGAAUAAGGACCGGCCAAUUCCGUGCCAGCAGCCGCGGUAAU